Molecule: ribosomal RNA, 292 nt
Filed under: uncultured bacterium
Lineage: Bacteria
Description: partial 16S ribosomal RNA
Rfam family: Bacterial small subunit ribosomal RNA
Source: RNAcentral
GUGGUCCUACGGGGGGUAGCAGUGGGGAAUAUUGCACAAUGGGGGGAACCCUGAUGCAGCGACGCCGCGUGAGUGAAGAAGUAUUUCGGUAUGUAAAUCUCUAUCAGCAGGGAAGAAAAUGACGGUACCUGACUAAGAAGCCCCGGCUAACUACGUGCCAGCAGCCGCGGUAAUACGCAGGGGGCAAGCGUUAUCCGGAUUUACUGGGUGUAAAGGGAGCGUAGACGGCAGAGCAAGUCUGAAGUGAAAGCCCGCGGCCCAACUGCGGGACUGCUUUGGAAACUGCCCGGCU